This 112-nucleotide ribosomal RNA is filed under the name Chrysemys picta bellii (western painted turtle). The record is from RNAcentral. Lineage: Eukaryota; Metazoa; Chordata; Testudines; Emydidae.
ACUUGAAGUACACUAGUUUGUGCUGGGAUCCGGUUAGAUAUCACAAGCUCAGCAAGGAGAGUCUGGAUUUGUACUUGGAUGGGAAACUGCUAGUGAAGAUGCAGCUCAAUUU